Molecule: ribosomal RNA, 207 nt
Filed under: uncultured bacterium
Lineage: Bacteria
Description: partial 16S ribosomal RNA
Rfam family: Bacterial small subunit ribosomal RNA
Source: RNAcentral
CGCGUAGGCGGCCUGCUAAGUCACACGUGAAAUCCCUCGGCUCAACCGGGGAACUGCGUGUGAUACUGGCGGGCUUGAAUUCGGGAGAGGGAUGUGGAAUUCCAGGUGUAGCGGUGAAAUGCGUAGAUAUCUGGAGGAACACCGGUGGCGAAGGCGGCAUCCUGGACCGAGAUUGACGCUGAGGCGCGAAAGCUAGGGGAGCAAACG